RNAcentral lists this long non-coding RNA (13720 nucleotides) under Cucumis sativus (cucumber). RNAcentral describes it as "long non-coding RNA (CSAT_LNC000427)". The stretch from base 2349 to 2420 matches the Rfam family "tRNA". The record is from RNAcentral. Lineage: Eukaryota; Viridiplantae; Streptophyta; Magnoliopsida; Cucurbitales; Cucurbitaceae.
ACAAGUUUGUUAUUAAUAUUAUUAAUUCAAAAAAGAUAUAUACCAUUUUAGUCUUAAAUUUUGAAAAAGAAUGGGUUUGGUCUACAAUGUUUAGAACACAUCUCUUUAGUCUUUAGUCUUUGGGUUUGUAAGAAUAUAUUCAUUUGGUGUCAAGCUUUUUAAUAAAAAUACUUCCAUGACCUUUGUUUUGAAGUCCAUUUUUAAAAAUUAAAAAGUAAAGAAAAGGAACCUUUUGAAAAAUAAUGAUAAAAGGAGUCAAUUAUCCAAUACAUUUUGAAAACCCACAUUUUUGUUUUAUAGGUAAUAAAUGAGUUGAGGAGGAGAGGGCCAUAUUGUUGGAUGCUAAAUGCUAAAACUGCAUGAUUGAUUGAUUUAUUAUUUAAGGGCAAUUUCUCCAUUCAACUAUCCAUAAAUCCACAAAUCCUUUUAAAUAUUCUAUAAACAAUCAAUUUUCAAUCUAAAAAUCAAAUCUUAACUAUUAAUUGACAAUUUUUCAUAAACAUAAAACAACCCUCCCUAUUUUUUCAAGAAAAGUAUUCAACUUUUGCUCUCCCUUUCCAUUUCUUUCAUAUGCAAUUUCUUGUUUACUUUUUCUUUUUUUUUUCCAUUUCCUAGAUUAAGCAUUUAGUUUUUAAAAAUUUAUACUUAUUUCUUCUCAAUUUGAUUUUCAUUUUUUCAAUUAAAACAUUUAAACUCCUGAACAAAAAAUUAUAUUUACCAAAUUUGUUAUAUGAAAAAAAAAAAAAGUGUUGUGAACUGUUUUUUUAAUUUUUUUAUCUAAUGCAAUUUUCCUAUAACAAAACACCAAAAUAUCUAAUGCAAUUUCCCCUCUCCACCGUCUUUCUUCUCUUCUUCUACAUUUUUUUUAUAAUUUUUUGAAAUCAUCGUCUUUGUUUUCAAUCAAUCAUAAAUUUUAUACCAAAUAUAUCAAAUAUAAAAUAUUUUGAAAAAAAAUCGUUAGGAUAUUGGUACAUGAUCAUGUAGAUUUGAAACGUUACAAAAAAAUUAUUAAAUAUAUUACACCAGUGAGUGACCAAUUAAUUGUGUGUUAACCGAACAUAUUUGGUUUUCUAUUUGUGGGUAAUGUAAACUUUUUUUUUUCUUUUUGAAAUGGUUAAAUAUUCAGUGGAUUUGUUAUAUUUUUUUAAAAGACCUACUUUUAAAAACUAUAUUAAUAUAUAUAUAUAUAUAUAUAUAUAUAUAAUAUAUAUAUAUAUAUAAUAUAUAUAUAUAAUAUAUAUAUAUAUUUAGUUUUCAAAACAUAACUUAGUUUUAUUUAAAACGCUAGCCCGAAAUAGAUAACAUUACAAAGGAACUUAGAAAUAGGACUAGUUUUUAAAAACAAAAAAUAAACUAUUUGAUUUUUAGUUUUUUUUUUUUGUUUUUGUAAAUUAAGUCUAUAAAUAUUCAUUCUACUCCUAAUUUUUUGGAUUUUUAUUAUUCAGAUACUAAAAAAAAAUGUAGUGAUUAUCAAACAUGACCUUAAUAAUUCAAUUUUAGCAUGUAACAGUUCAUAUGUACAUUUUCAAAUUGGUAAAAUUAUCUAAUUAUAUUUUUAAAAUAAUACAAAAAUAUAAUCAAAUUUUUAUUAAUGAAGUUUAGUGGGAUGAAGGUGGUGAUAUAAAAAAGGAAAAGAAAUAAAAAUUUGGAAAACGUAAUUGAAAUGAGUGGUUUUGGAUGUGAGCUAAUAAAUGUAUAUCUAAAAUAGCAUUAUUUGAAAAUUCCAUUAGUUUCUUUACCUUUUCUUUUCUUUUCUUUUGGGGAUUCUCGACUUGUAUCUUUACGCUACAAUAUGAGAAAAUUAGAAUAGCCUUCAACAUUAAAAUAGGAUUCCAUAUGAUGCCUUCUAAUUCAUUUAUUAUUUCCUUUUAAAGCAAACCACAACACAAUCUUACCCCAUCCAAUCAAAACUAAUCUUUUUCCACUCCUUUCCUCCUUUUAUUUUCACCUCUCUUCCAUUACAUGCUUCUUAUGAAAAAUCUUAUAAAGUCCCUCAUCCCACAUAAUUGAAUCAUCGAAAAGGAAGAUACACAUUGUUGGUAUAGGUAGUAGUUUCCACUUCUUAUAAAUCUUUUCUAAUCGUAUUAAAUAAAACUUCUCUUCGGUGUCCCUAAUAUAGUAUUAAUUUAAUACAUUUUAUGUCACAUCUUAUCAUAUCAUUUUAUUGUUAGUUAACUAACGGUCACAAUGGUCUUAUGAAUCAUUUAGAAUCAUUUUCUAAACUUUUUCAAGGCUCAAAUGUUCAUUUUAAAACUUAACGGACCAAAUAGAUAUCGAUUUUAAACAUCAACAAAUAAUUAAAUAUAAAGAGAAUUAUAAAAGUAAUAACUACUCAUUUCUCCAACUCAGCGUUUGUAGUCCAACGGUUAGGAUAAUUGCCUUCCAAGCAAUAGACCCGGGUUCGACUCCCGGCAAACGCAUUUUGCUAUUCAAAACCAAACCAAGAAAACUUAUGAAAUCUUUGUCAAUUUUAUUCUAGUAUAUAUAUAAGAAGAUUUAUAUAAAUAGAUGUCACACUCUUCUCAAAGAAGUGAGGUGUGACGAUGUCAAUUUUUGUUACGAUGUUUCACCUAUUUUUUUUAUAAGUGUGUGGUCGUGUGAUAUUGGCGUGGUUGAAGACAAAGUGUGAAAAAACGUGCAACAAAAUUAUGUGUUGAGAAAAGUCUUUUACGAAGUACUCAGUCUGUGUGAUGUGUGGUAUUGAACAUUUUGUUUAUGACAUUGUGACUGAUUUGUUUGAGAAGAUCCGUGCAAGUUAGGGGAGCCUAAACAUUGAAGAUUGUUUUGAGGAGUCUCUCACAGGGGGAGACUGCAUAUUAAGACGAAAGGUAGAAGCGGAAUUGAUUGUUAACCUUUCUGCUAAGUUUAAUGAUUCUAGUGCCAUAGAAUUUCAGAAGGUCGUGCAUGUGCAUGGGGUUUGCUUUACAAUCUCUUCAUCUCUCCUCAAUUAGUUUAUGGAAUUAUCUGUGUAUGAAGAUCUUGCUGUUACUUAUCAAUCUUUUGAGUAAUUGGUAGUGGAACUCACUAGUGGCAUAGUUCACUCUUGGCCUACAAAUGGUCAACUACCUUCUGUUCGGUUGAGCAUCAAAUAUGUUAUUUUUCAUAAAAUAGCAUCCUAUCAUUCUAUCUACUAUUGAUGUGGCUGGUCCAGCUUCUAAGACUAUGAACUUGAGUUUUCGACUGUUUCAAGAAGCACGAAUCACAUGUUUAUGAUCUACGUCUUUAGAUUUCUGUCUUGCUCCUGGUGGUUCUCGCUCCUCUUUCUUCAUUCUUCCCGCCUCCUUCUGUUGGGUUGUUGCUUUUUGCUCCCAUGAUGUCUCAAGUUCUUCAAGUACUUUUUGAGGAGUCGAGUAGAGUAUUAUGCGGGUUUUAUUUGCUCAUUGCUCUAUGGUGGAGUCAUUACUGACAAGAUCUUCAAAGGAUGAUGUUUUCAGUUACUGUUCCUGCUUCUUAACUUUAUUUUGUCAGCAAGCAAAGGGGAGUGUAUAUGGGUGUUAUGUGAUGUGAUCUUCUUCAACACUCUAUGAAUGAAUAUGAAUUUGCUAUUUUGUUUUGUUGAUGAUUAGCUGGUUUAGAUCUGCUUUGGUCCUCUACGAACAGAUAUGGAUUUGAUGUUUUGCUUUGUUGAUGAUUAGCUUAUUCAGAUCUGGGUAUGAUAUUUUUUUUUGUGACUAAAGUGUUGUGUGGCUAGCUAUUUUUGGUUUGCUUCUCAAUAUAACUUCUGGGUUGUUUCUAGUUUCUCUGUGUUUGGUUCUGCUAGUGAUUAGGUUGUUGGUUUGUUUUGUGCUUGUCUGCUCAAAUAAAGGAAGCUGGUCUCAAGGGGGAGUUUGUUAUUGUUGUGGUCUCACUUCCUUUAUUGUAUUUAUUUAUUAUGUUAUUCUGAAUUUGGUUAUUGAGAUUGGUUGGUUGGUUGUGCUAUCCCUUCAUUCUCGAGUUGUUUGGAUCCCUUCCCAUAGUUACUUCAUAUUAUUAUGUGAAUGUUUUGUUAUGAUUUGUAGAAAAAAAAAAUAAUUUCUUGAAAAGGUGUGGUUGGUGAUAUAUUUCGAUUGAUGAGACGUUUCGAUGUGUCCCUUCUUGACUUAUGAAUUACGAUAUUGCACAUAGAAGAUAGAAAAUUACUGAAAAGUCCAGAAUACUUGAUGAGAAGAUUGCAAGUGGUCUUUGAUAUAUAAUCUCUUACCAUAGAUCUAAAGCCCAUCAGAUGUAGAUAGUGUGUCAUUGAACUGGGUAACAAAAGUUUGAUGUGUUCUAUGUGAUUUUACGUGACUCCGUAACUAAUUCUUAUUUAGUCACAUUGGUAAACAAACAAGAAAGAAAUACACAUAAAUUUAUGAAAUGUUGGUUUAAUUCCAUGGCUUGUCAGCACAGUUGUAAGGUCGGCAAUAUUAAGCAGCAAUGUCUUUGAUUUGAAUUUCAGUGUCAUAAAUCUUUCCAUUUCGAUCACCAAGCAGUAGGAAGAACAUAAUGUGCAUAAAUCCAUCUUUUAUUAUAUAUCCUGAACUUACCAUCAUCCAUAUUUGUAAUGCUCCUCUAGUGCUUUUUCAUUGGACUCCCUCUUGGAAAACCAAAUCUAUAUAUCAAAUAAUAAUUCAAUUCACAUAUGAACAACAAUAUUUAGUAUUUUACAAAAAACAAAAAACAAAAACUAAUUAAUUAGCUGAUCGUUUUGUAUUGAUUUUGAACUGACCUGAGCUAUAUUAACUGCUUGAAUAUCAGUUUGACCACCUUGGUAUAGGAAUUUGAUGGCCAAAUACUAUGGUUUGCUACUCCAUUCUACAACUUGCACCAUCAAAUUUUUGUUUUUGUAAUCACAUGGUAUCCUUCAAAAUAAAAACAAUCCCCAAAAUUUAUAUGAGUUCAUUUAAUUUUGAACUAACUUAAAUAAGGGCCUUCAUAUAUCAAAUGUUAUUUAUAUAUAAUAUUUAUACCUCUUCUAUUUUACAUCCAACGUAUCAAUUUUCAAAAGCCUUCUUCACCAGAAGAAAUUCUGUUUUAUUUUCAUAAUUUUGAUCUGUCAAAACUAAUUUUGUUUUCAAUAAGUUGCUCAAUCUCUUGUUCUUGCAUCUUACCUACGUAAAAGGCAAACAUACUUGUCAUCCUCUAAAUUUUAAAGAGUAUAUAAUGACGUGCAUAAGAGUGAUGUAUAGAUGAUAUGAUGUACAACCACACAACUUUGAGUCAAACUGAUUACAAAAGUAAAUGAUUUAUAAUUUCAUACAUGAUAGUGAUCUAUAAAUAUAGACGAUAGGUACGAAUAUCAUAGUCAAAUGUGGAAAUGUGUGCUUAAAAUAGAUAGAUGUUGCUACAACUAUAUAUUUGAGUAAAAGUAGCUAUACAAGAAAGGAAUGGUGUAUUUUUGCAUGGAAGGGUUUGAUCUAGACCAUAUAUUUAAAUCACCAUGAUAUGUAGACAUAUGUUUGGAUAGAAAGUCUUUUGUAUUAUCAGAUUGUGGAAGCAAAGAGAGGAUAAAAAAUAAAAAAAAGAGACAAUAUAAAUAUAUAUAUAUACCUGAUAGCAUGCACCACAGGCAAUUCCUUGUUUAUAAAGGGAAGGCCCAACAGCUACAUUAAAUCCUUUAGAAAUAUCAAACUCCAAGCUUUCAUAUCCACAUCAUAUACCAUUCAAUAUAUUUCAAUUUAAUUUAAUAAAGUUUUUUUUUGUUUAUGCAAAAAGUUUUUUUUGUUAUGAAUGACAAAAUUAUUAAAAAUAUAUCAAUUAAGAAAUUUAAAACUUUAUUAUAUUUUGUAAAUAUGACACAGGGACCAAAGUUUUUAAAUAAACAAGAGAAUAGUAUGGAACAUUUUAAAUAGAAUAUGAUCAAUGUUGCAAAACGUUGUUCUCUCCGCAUUUUCUUACUUGCUUCCUAUAUUUCUCUUUGUUAUUAUUAUUCGUAAGAAACAACUUUAGACAAUAUCAAUUUUCAUAUUUUGCAAUUUUGUUUUUGUUUUAAAAUAUUUUAGGCCCAUAUUUUGCAAAGAAUCCCAAAACCAUUAUUAUUUUGACACGAGUUAUAUAAUCUUUGUAAGUUCCUUUUUUUGUUAGCAUUUCGAGACACUUGAUGCAUAGGUUUAAAAUGUUAAGCUUGGAGGUGAGGUCGAGAGAUUUAAUUUAGAUAGUAUGAAUUUAAGAAAACUAAGUUUGAAGUGCAAAUUUGAAGGUUUGAAUACGUAGUGACAUGCUUAGAAUACCGAACAAUGUAAUGCAAACUUAUAAGUGUUGAGUUUGUGAAAUAUUUUAUUAUAUUUAAUUAAUGGUUCUAUUUAUGAAUCAUUUGAAUUAAUUUAAGAAGAAAACAUAUAUAUAUAUAUAUAUAUAUAUAUAUAUAUAUAUAUAUAUAUAUAUAUAUAUAUAUAUAUAUAUAUAUAUAUAUAUAAAUACUCAAUUUUAUUUAAAUACUUUUAGUAAAAGGGAGAAACUAAUUUAGUUUAAUUUUUUCUAAAAUUUUUCAAUAGAGUAUAAGAAUUUGAACUUGGAUAAUACAUGCCAGUUAGUAAAGUGUUAUGCUUACAUUAAUAAAAAAUAAUACUACAUAAAAAUUUCUGCAAGAUCAUUAAAUGGAAUAAAAGCUAAAUAAUUCUUUGGUUAAAAAUAUCAUAGGUUGACAUCGAUAUUAAUUCUUUGAUUUUUCAUCUUUUUAGUCCUAUACAUUUAAUUGUCUAAAUUUAACAUCAAAUCAUAAAUUUAAUUAGUCUUUAUGCCAAAGACUUAAAAUAAAGCUAAUUUAUGUUCAUUUUUAUUAAAAAAAAUUGUUACAUGUAAGAAUAAUAAAGAUUUUUUUAAAAAACCAGAACAAAGCGUAAAACUAUUUACACUGUAUAGAACAUUUGUUAAAAAGGAAAAAGUCCACAAGCUCACAACAUGGAAAAAAAAAAGUUCGAAAUUAAUCGAUCACACACGUGAAAAAACAAUUUUGUACCUAGUCUAAACAAUCUUGUAUUUAGUCUAAAUGAUUUUGUAUCCAGUCUAAACGAUAUUAUACUUGUGUAUCCAGUUUAAACGAUGUUGGUGAACGAAGAGAUGAGAGAUGAUGAAAAAAGAAGAAGAAGAAGGACACAAGUAUCAAGAGAAAAAUAUUGACUUUGUGAAAAAAGAUGACAUCCAAGAUGAAAGAUGAUGAAAAAGGAAUAAAUUAUAGACGAAGAGAUGAAGAAAUUAUGGAAGGAAAAAUCUAGAAUUUAUGAAAAAAUUAACGUGUAAUAAUAAUAAUGGUUUGAUUUUAAUUUAAGAAAUGAUAUAAGAUAGUAUGUGAAUAUAUUUUGGAAAAAUAGGAAGGGACUACUAUUACAUUUUAAAGCUUUUUAAAAAUUUGAUAAAUCCAUAAUUUACGACUAAUAGUUCCUUGCAUAUUCAGCGUUUGUAGUCCAACGGUUAGGAUAAUUGCCUUCCAAGCAAUAGACCCGGGUUCGACUCCCGGCAAACGCAUUUUUGACAACUUUGCUUUUUUAGUCCAUUUAAUGUUGAAAUAACUAAAUUUGUAAGGUUAAUUUUCAUAAAUACAACCAAACACCAAAAUAUUUAACUGUUGAAUAAAAUAAAAAAAAUCCAAAUUUUGUAAUACAUAUAUCUUUCCUUUUUAUUUACUUAUGAGUGCUAUUUAAAUGUUAUAUAUAUUUAAAAAUGUGAAAUGAAAAAAAUGCGUGCGUUUGCCGGGAGUCGAACCCGGGUCUAUUGCUAGGAAGGCAAUUAUCCUAACCGUUGGACUACAAACGCCGUUGGUUAGAAUAUUUACAGUGCAAUUGUUUUUUAAGUGUAUUACCGAAGCAAUACAGUGCAAUUUAUAUGUAUAAGGAUUUUUUAAACCCUAAAUAAUUGGAAGAGAAAAAAAAAAGAGAAGAGUUUACGUAUGGAAAUACACGAUUGAUUUGACCAUAAAAAAACAGUUCUUUUCUAACCUUGCUGGUAAGGUGUUUGAAUCUCUGCUGACAUGAUUUUUUAAGCAAACAUUUUUUGGGUAAUAUUGUUAAAACCAAUAAACACAAACGAGCAAAGAUGAUGUGCUUCUACGUCCGGAUGGAAUAUUUUACUUUAAUAAUGUUGUUUAGAAAAAUAAGACGGUUUUCAAACUCAAUACAGUCACUCCCAAACAACUUAAUCACCCAAUCUUUUCUUAGGCUCAUCCCAAGGAAUGGAGACUCUCUUUCAUGUUAACUUAGACUCUCGCUAGGUUGUUGUAUUUGGUAAAGGAUGUCUUAGACUCCUCUUAAGACAAAGAUACUCCCUAUCAAGAAAACAUGAGUUCCUCUUAAGUGGUGUGACAGCUUCUUCUCACUUCAACUGCAUCUUUCCUUCUUAGAACCAAGUCACUUUGUUCAAUUUGCAUAGGCACCUCCUUCACUUGAAAAUCCCUUCUUGGUUAAAAUGCAAUAUAAUUUUAGUGUGAUGAAUAUCUUGGAGUAUAUCUCUUAACAAUAUUGCAAAAUAGCUUUCUUCUUUCCAAUGCUUAUCUCCAAUGGCAACCAAAUACACAACACGAUGAUGGAACAUACAAUAAUCUUCUUCAAACUAAAAGGCGAACCCUAGACAAUUAUAGGACUACAUAUCUUUUAAAUAAACAAAGUGGAUAGACAAAGGAGCAAUAACCCUAACUUUCAAAGCAGUCAUGCAUGCAUAGAAAAUGAAAGAAAUCUGCAUAGAAUACUACUGAUAAGAAAGGAAAGUAUUUUUCAAAAGUCAACAUUUUUAAUUAGAAAGCAUCCACUUGUCAGAAAACCACCAAUGCAGAGACAUCUCACAUAGUAUCUAUAAAACUUAAAACAAAUUAUAUUGUCAAACAUAAGUUUUAACAACGCUAAUUCUGUAAGACCCAUCCUUGGAAAAGUUGGUGCCAAGGAUGAGAACGAUGCAAUACAGGAAGCUAGGUGUCCAAGUGGGGAGUUGUUUAAGUUAGGUGUGAAGGGUUAGACGUUCAAAAGCAAUAAAUAGUUUUGUAGAAUUGGUCGGACGGAUUUUGUCUUCCAAAUUCGUGCCAAAUAAUAAACCGAAUCACACACCAAAAUUUAGUUUUAAUGAGAAGUUUGGAUUGAUCACAGUAAGCACACUGAUUCCUCAAACAAAUGAAUUUUGAACCACGUAACGGGGUUGAGUAGAGAUUGAUUGCAUGAAAGUAAAUAUCAAUUAGGAAAGUAAACUUGUGAAAAUUCAACGACAAAAGGAUCUAACUUGCAUUAUAGCGAUUUCCCCCUUAUUUAAAGAAUUUAUGCAUUGAACUAACUUAAUUUUUGUCCCACUUCCUCGUCUCCCAGCCACGCCAAAUUAUGGAUUACAUAUCACAAAAGGAUAAUAUUAUUGAAAGAAACAUUAGGUAAACAUGUGAGAAUAUUUAUGAUAUAUAGAUAUAGACGAACAUGUAGGAAAAAGAUUCAAAAUGAACACCGUAGGUUUAUGACAUAAAAACAAAGAUUACAUUAUUCUUCUUGCAAAGACCAACAUGCUUCUCUCUGCACCCGAUGAAAAGGAUAAACGUUUUGGAAAGCUAUUAUUUCCACCUGCAAAGGACAAACAUAUUAAUAUCAGCUCUAAGACAGUACCAAGUAUUUUUAGGAUGGUUAUUAUUUACAGUUAAAUCAAUACAUGACAAGACAACAAUAUCUUGAAACAAAAUUAAAGCUGUCUUGCUAAACAAUCAAGGAAACAAAAUUAACAACCUUCUAAUAAUGAAGUACCCAAAAAUAGGAGGAGCUUCUUUAUAUCUUAAAAGGUCACCUUCGUCUCUAACCUUCAAAUAUAAUCUUCCAAAUAGCCUAUUUUGUUCCUUAAACUUUUAAACAUUUUGUUAAGUCCAUAAUCUUGUAUUUCACAUUCAUUUUUCACCAGUCAUCAACAAAAUUAGAAAUCUUUUAAGAACUCAAAACCUAACCUACUAUACGUUGCUUCAAGUACUUGUCUGCUACAAAUAUUCAUAGAUUAGACAAAUAUAGUGAUAGCGAUUUUCUUAAACAAUUUAUCCAAAAGUAAGGACAAGGAAUCAAAUGGCCUUUCAAACCAAGUUUAGGGACUAAAAUAUAGAGUAAACAUAAAAAGUUUGGGGGAUAAAAGAAGAUUUAAACCAUUUUAGAGGUAUUGAAUCAACAUUAAAAAGAGUUCAUGUUCCCCAAUAUCCUCAAAUCCGUAGUACUAUAUCUUCUAACAAAAGAGAAGUUAGAGACAAACACCUCAUAAGUAAACUGUAUAAGCCAUGUCUAUGGUACUAACCUUCCAAAGAACUCCCUUUCCUUUUGAACUCAAGGAGUCUUGUUAAUGAGGAAGCAUUAGAAUGAGAUGACAGAAUUAGAAGAACAGUUUUCUCUAGCAGCAAAACUGAAGGGAUGGAAAGGUAGCCGAUAAACAGGUACCCAAUAAUUCUAUAAAAGCACCCCUCUUAAAAACAAGCUACUUUGGAGGAGAAAAAAAGAAAGAAAAGAGAUAAGAAAACUAAUUGUCCAUGAUUUACAGUUAAUCUGUUUUUUUUUUUUUUACAUGAAAAUGUGUCCUAAAGUGUAUUAUAAUCACUCCACUGAUCAGAUUGCAACCUCAGCAGAGUCCCAUCUACUCUGUAGCUGAAUCACUUACUUCAUAUCCAAUUCCAUCAUUCACUUGAUGAAUGAGACAUUGUGAAAUCAGGAGUUUGAUUCUAGAUAAAUAUUGUCAUAGUCCUAUUCUGAGCUUGGUUAAGCCUUAACUUUAUUUUCUGGUUUUUAAAGAUUAAGUUUGCUUGCCGAUAAAUUGUUGUUUUAAAAAGCCAUCGGAAAGUGAGAAAACAACACAGUGAAGUAAUAAUAGGCAAUAAGCAUUAACAAAAUUAGAGAUCACAAGAAGUUAAAUUUUUCUAAAACUGAAAAGUUAUCUAUUGAAGCAAUAAGCAUUCACUUAACUUCCUGAAUAAAAACUACCUCGUCUGAUCUCUGACUAGGAACUGCAAUUAACAAUGAAAUUCAAUGUACAAAAGACAAUCAUUCUCAAUCAACUCCUUUACAAAUUCCAGCAGAUCUGAUAGUUCACAAUGAAAGAGUUGGCAUCCCAUUGGAUCUAGUGGAGAAAUUUCAUAUUGUCCAACAUCUCAGGAACAAAACAUCUCUUGGUGAAAAAACAAUUCUCCCUUUCAGCCACCAUAGCUUUAUCUAUUGAAAUACAUUGAUAUAUUGGGUCCGAAAAUUGGAGAGUUUGACAUACAUAUUAAAGAUUCAUUAACCAUUAAUUCAUGGACCUAUCUAACAUCUUUUAUAACUACUUGUCAGAAGAAAUACCAUUGAUUCAUCUAUUAAUUUUAGAAGUAAAAACAAGUUAAUUAUUAAUUUAAAUAAUCCUAAUAAUUCUUUUUAUUUACUUACAGAAAUAAAUAAUCGUCAACAAAUUCAUAAAAUCAAUAUCGAUAAUUUGAUUUUGAUAAUUUUGGAUAUAGAUAUCAAUACUGAUAAUUUGGAGAAGCUUUAGGUGACGUCAUUAGAUGGGACAUUCUCAUCGAUCAUAGGACAAUUAUUUUAGUCAACCAAAACUCAAAUCACAUCACAGAACCCAAAUCUCAGAACAAGCAUACUACUAGUACUGACUGUCACUAUUUCAUAUUUCAGAUCCAUGAAUCACAAACAGACUGAUAAACAGAAAUAAAACUGGAAAUUCAAAAUCAAGAGUUUGCAUCUAAAACAGAACAAGCAAAUAAUCAGUCUCCAAAACAGUAAAUUUCAAGAAGAUGAGAUCAAAACUACCUCACAUUGCCUCUGUUUUCCCUUCUAGGCAAGCUUUCCUUCUGCAUGUAGGAAUGGACUCAAACAUGCUGACCGGCAAAAUCUCAGACAAGAACCCAACCGCAAACUCGAUGGAUUUAGAGUCUGGAGUAACCUUGAUUCCAGUAAUAGGAAGCCAGGCGAAGAGCUUCUUGACUUCAAUCCCAGAAACAUCGCUCAAUGACCUAUUGCUCAAUUUCCCCUUGAUAUUCUUUCCGUAAUAGACCAGAUCAGAGAAAUGGACAUAGCAACUGCUUUGGAGUUGGAUUUCGAAGGUACCAUCGUCUGAGAGAGUGUAGGAGUUGACAUUGUCGGGUAAGAGACCGACUGGAAAACCGUAAAGGGGAAGAAGAUCGUGGAUAUCAGAUGACCUGAGGGGAAAAUCCCUUGCGGAAAAGGAGAGGUGGGUUUGAGUGGAAAAGAGGAGAAUCAGAAGAAAGAGAGAGAAUGGGGAGAGGAUUGUGGAGAAGGAAGCCAUUGAUGGAGUCUUGAGGAAGAAAAUGGGGAGAAAAUUGGUUGCCGCUUACUUGGUUGAAACAUGUUUAAAUAGAUGCCAACAGGUGAUAAAAUAUUUCUUCCUAUUGUCUCUCAAUAAUUCAUUACAUUGAAUGAGUUUUUAAUUGAUGAAGAUUAUCUCGUAACUAAGUCGUAAUAAAAUAACAAAAACGAUCUUCUUACAAGAGCCCAUGUGAGAACCAAUCACUCUGUGCCCCCAAAUAUCAACUCUUCCAUUUCCACCCAUUACCUCUUUUAAUUAUCUAAUCUUGUUUAAGCCAUUGACUUGGGUACGCUUUCUAUUUUAAAUGCUAUUUCUCACUCCCUCCUUUCUCACAUCUCACCAUUCCUCACUCCCCAUCUCUCAUUCCCUCUGCUUUCUUUGUGUUUCCUUCUCCAAAUACCUCGUCUCUCUCUCUUCUUCCUUCUACUUUCUCUUCCCAUUCUCUCUUCCCCAUUGUUUUAAUAUAAUAUAUAGGUUAAAAUAUAUUAUAAUAAGAUAUACUAUAAUAGUCUGCACUCCAAACACCGACUAUAAUAUUUCAUACUAUAACAUUCUGCACCCCCAAACGCAAAUUAUUAUAAUACCCACAAUUUACGCAUUCCAUUUUUCCUGUUUUUGAACUCUUUUUUCUACUUUAUAAUAGUUCUAUUAGCAUGUGACUAACAUUUGUUUCCUCAUAAAAUAUCUUAUACCAAUUUUUAAAUAUACUUAAUAUGUAAUAUAUAUGUCCAUACUCUUAGAAAGAUCUAGGAAGAUGCAAAAUAUUAGAGAAAAGUUUUUCCUCAAAUCAUGUUACAAUAGAGUGGGGGGAAACAAUUUUUGAAAGCUCCAAAGCAACCCAAAGGGGAUUGUGAUCCAUAUUAAUAUACAUUACACAAAUUACAAUUCAUAUAUAAACCCUUCUAGUGGAAUUUAAGGCUGGUCAAAACAUUGUUGUUGACAGGGUCAGACAAAUGAUCCAAAAGGUUUUGGUAAGGUCCAACACCAGUAACAAGACCUUGUAUAAAGUAACCCAAAAUUGCCAACAUUGCAAGCCUUCCAUUCUUAAUUUCCUUCAACUUCAAUUCCUUCAUUGACUUCUCAUCUUUCCCAAACCCUAGUGGGUUGAACAAUGGCCCGCCAGGGUAAGCUGGGUCCCCUGAUCCACCCAAGAACUUCUCCAGGCCCAAAAAGUAUUGUUUUCCCAUGGAUCCUGGCUUGGCCCAAUCUUGAAAUCUUCUGUGUUCAGCAAAGCCCAUCAGAGCCAUUUCAAAUACAAAGAGUGUGUAAGGGUCUGCCCAAUAGUUGUAGGUCCCUGCUGGUGGGAUGACCCCUGUUUUGAACCAUGGGAGGGCUGUUUCUGGUGGGAUUAACCCCAGUGAUCCAAAGAUUUCUGGGGCUAUGGCUCCUGCUGCUCCCAACAUUGCAAACCUUCCGUUGAUCACUUCGCCGUAUGCCAACCAUCUUGGCUCGAUGAACCCUCCUGUGCCUUCGGGAUCAGAUAGCCCCAGUGGGUCAAACCCGAAAUCGCCUGGCAGACUAA